Molecule: ribosomal RNA, 239 nt
Filed under: uncultured Lactobacillus sp.
Lineage: Bacteria; Bacillati; Bacillota; Bacilli; Lactobacillales; Lactobacillaceae
Description: partial 16S ribosomal RNA
Rfam family: Bacterial small subunit ribosomal RNA
Source: RNAcentral
AACCUGCCCAAGAGAUCGGGAUAACACCUGGAAACAGAUGCUAAUACCGGAUAACAACAGAUGAUGCCUAUCAACUGUUUAAAAGAUGGUUCUGCUAUCACUCUUGGAUGGACCUGCGGUGCAUUAGCUAGUUGGUAGGGUAACGGCCUACCAAGGCGAUGAUGCAUAGCCGAGUUGAGAGACUGAUCGGCCAUAUUGGGACUGAGACACGGCCCAAACUCCUACGGGAGGCAGCAGGC